This 462-nucleotide ribosomal RNA is filed under the name uncultured Leptospiraceae bacterium. RNAcentral's name for it is "bacterial SSU rRNA". It matches the Rfam family "Bacterial small subunit ribosomal RNA", at positions 338 to 795 of the family's 1533-position model. Lineage: Bacteria; Pseudomonadati; Spirochaetota; Leptospiria; Leptospirales; Leptospiraceae. The record is from RNAcentral.
CCUACGGGAGGCAGCAGUGAGGAAUCUUGCACAAUGGGGGCAACCCUGAUGCAGCGACGCCGCGUGGAUGAUGAAGGCCUUCGGGUUGUAAAGUCCGGUAAGCAGGGAAGAAUAAGCGUGGGGUAAUAUUCCAUGUGAUGACGGUACCUGCCUAAAGCCCCGGCUAACUACGUGCCAGCAGCCGCGGUAAUACGUAUGGGGCGAGCGUUGUUCGGAAUUAUUGGGCGUAAAGGGCGUCUAGGCGGGGGAUUAAGUUAGUUGUGAAAGCUAUGGGCUCAACCCAUAAAUUGCAAUUAAGACUGGUUCUCUUGAGUUCGGGAGAGGAGAGCGGAAUUCCAGGUGUAGCGGUGAAAUGCGUAGAUAUCUGGAAGAACACCAGUGGCGAAGGCGGCUCUCUGGCCUAGAACUGACGCUGAAGCGCGAAAGCGUGGGGAGCAAACGGGCUUAGAUACCCCUGUAGUC